Molecule: transfer RNA, 67 nt
Filed under: human gut metagenome
Also listed under: 2 other names
Rfam family: tRNA
About the family: Transfer RNA (tRNA) molecules are approximately 80 nucleotides in length.
Source: RNAcentral
GGCGUAGCUCAAUUGGUAGAGUGGUGGUCUCCAAAACCAUAGGUUGAGGGUUCGAGCCCUUCCGCCU